UCAGCACAAAAGGGCGCUAAAAGGGAAAAAAACCUUAAAUAGUUGGGGUUUUAUUUCUUUGUUAGGUAUCAGAUAAAUGUUAUGUUAAAAAAGUAAAUUCUCACUACCAUAAAUUGAUGGCUCAGCAUCGGAUUAGCAUUGCACUCCGUAGUUAAGGUUUUAGGUAAUAUGCUUUAUCAAGUAUUGUCUUUAGAAACUCCUGUGAUUGUUUCAUUUUCGAUGUUUUUACAAGAUAAAUGGUGACUUAUAAUGGGCAUAUUUAUUUGCCUGUAUUUCAUUUCCCCCAAUGAAUGUCACAGGAGAUGCCAUAGAGCUAUUUCAGGUUAUAUCACACUGCUUCUUCCUGAUGUGUGGGGACUGGCCUUCAGUAAAGCAACCCAGAGGAGGGCAGAUGGCCAAUGGUAAAAGGAGGAAAUGAAUUUGCAGAUACUUAUUACCAAGUAGGUAAGGUCAGGAAGCUGGGGUUCCGGGGAUGUGCCUACAUCUUCUCUUGCUCUCUUAGGCUUACAAAUAUGAAAGUUACCACUGAACCUUACCAUAUGUAUAUAUGUUUAAUAUCUGUCUUUUGAAAUGCAGAAAUAGUUUAAAUGUUUCUUUGUCUAUUUUUCCUUUUGUUUUUAAUGCUACCCAGGGAAAUAUUUUCAUAUCGUUUUACGUGGCCUGCCUCAAUGUAUAUUUAUUUCUUUGGAGAAAAAAAAAGGUUCUGAAAACUGGUUUUCUGUAGCUUUAAAUGAGUAGGUAGCAAGAUCUAUAUGGGAUGUCAUUUUUUUGUUCAGUUUCUUUAAAAAAAUGCUUUGUUUUGAUACAUUUGGUUGUGCUUGUGGGGAAAAUAAAAGCGCAGAGAUCCUUAUAUAUUUAUGUUAAAGUAAUAUUUUAUUAUUACAUAAAACAGAAAUGCACAAU
This 903-nucleotide long non-coding RNA is filed under the name Rattus norvegicus (Norway rat). RNAcentral's name for it is "long non-coding RNA NONRATT023106". Lineage: Eukaryota; Metazoa; Chordata; Mammalia; Rodentia; Muridae. The record is from RNAcentral.